RNAcentral lists this ribosomal RNA (253 nucleotides) under uncultured bacterium. RNAcentral's name for it is "partial 16S ribosomal RNA". It matches the Rfam family "Bacterial small subunit ribosomal RNA", at positions 524 to 776 of the family's 1533-position model. The record is from RNAcentral.
UACGGAGGGUGCAAGCGUUGCUCGGAAUUAUUGGGCGUAAAGGGUAGGUAGGUGGUCUCAUUUGUCUGGGGUGAAAUCCUUGGGCUUAACCCAAGAAGUGCCCCAGAAACGGUGAGACUAGAGUCCUGGAGAGGGUCGUGGAAUUCCCGGUGUAGCGGUGAAAUGCGUAGAGAUCGGGAGGAACACCAGAGGCGAAGGCGGCGACCUGGACAGGUACUGACACUCAACUACGAAAGCGUGGGGAGCAAACAGG